GGCAGCCAGGUCCCGGGAUGGACCCUAUUUUGAGAGAUUUAUUGACUUUCUUUUUCUUUUGAAAGGGCUGUGGCCAGGCAGAAUAUUGAAGCGAAGGAGCCCGACAGUAGCCGCUCUCUCAGGGUCUAAGGCAACAGAGAGCUCCCAGGUGUGGCCGCAAGACUGGCAGCAGAAAGGCACUUUUGUAAGAAGAGGGAUGGGAGAAGCACAGAGGUGGACCUGGAAAAGUCAAAGGGAAGCUGUGGGUGGAAGCUCCGGAUGGCUGACCCCGAGUUCCAGCUCAAAGAACAGAGAUGGGUGGGGUGGGAAACACAGCGGAAAGAGCGGCCCGUGAACGAGGGUCCUCGGCAGCAGGACCGCCCUCCUCACGGACAGAUGGCAAGUGCUGGGGAGGCGGGGGAGGAACCAGCCUGUCACCACCGGCGGGAACGUGGGCGGGCGCAGCCACUGCAAAACAGCCGGUCACUCCUCAGAUAACAGGCGCGGACUUCCCACACGACCCAGCAAUCCACGCCUAGAUGUAGCCAAAGAGAAGCAGAAACACGUCCCCCGUAACACGUGUACCUGGUGUUAUUCAUAACAGCGAAAAAGUGGAAACAGCCCCAAGUUCAUCAACAGACAAGAAAAUGUGGUACAUCUACCAGGCGCGGUGGCUCACGCUUUAAUCCCAGCACUUUGGGAGGCCGAGGCAGGCGGAUCACCUGAGGUCAGGAGAUCGAGACCAUCCUGGCCAACAUGAUGAAACCCCGUCUCUACUAAAAAUACAAAAAUUAGCUGAGUGUGGUGGCGGGCGCCUGUCAUCCCAGGUACUCGGGAGGCUGAGGCAGGAGAAUCGCUUGAACUCAGGAGGCGGAGGUUGCAGUGAGCCGAGAUCGCGCCACUGCACUCCAGAAUGGGCGACAGAGCGAGACUCUGCCUCAAAAAGAAAAAAAAAAGUGGUAUAUCUGUGCAGUGUGCUAUUAUGUGAAAAUAAAAAGGAAUGAAGCCCUGUCAUAUGACAACAUGGAUGAGCCGUGAAAAGAUCAUGCUCAGUGAAAGAAGCCACACACAGAAGGCCGCGUAGUGUAUGAUUCCAUUUAUACGAAGAGGCAUUUUUUCCUCAAUGAAGCUGUUUGAAAAAGAAAAAGGGAAAGAGAGGAAGAGAGAGAGGUGCCAGUUGGGGAGGAAAAGAGGAAGAGGAACCUUGUAGAGCAGAGUGCAGGUAGAACUGCAACUGAAAACAGGAACCUGCGGUGCAAACGGCACAGCGUGCACCGUGCUGCCUGUGCGCUCCCCUGUGCGCUCCC
Homo sapiens (human) is the source of this 1286-nucleotide long non-coding RNA. RefSeq lists it as uncharacterized. The transcript has 3 exons. Lineage: Eukaryota; Metazoa; Chordata; Mammalia; Primates; Hominidae. The record is from RefSeq and is a predicted model, not a curated record.